RNAcentral lists this long non-coding RNA (1470 nucleotides) under Sorghum bicolor (sorghum). RNAcentral describes it as "long non-coding RNA (SBIC_LNC015703)". Lineage: Eukaryota; Viridiplantae; Streptophyta; Magnoliopsida; Poales; Poaceae. The record is from RNAcentral.
CUUAGUGUGUUUAAUUAAUAAAUAAAGUGGCUAUGCUAAUCUGUAUCUAAUAAAACUUAAGCAUAGAUAUGAUGAAUAGUUGCUCUGCCUAAUUUGCACAUUUUAAGUUCUCUCUCAAGUUUAGACAUAACUGUUAUAAUUUAAAGCUUGCCCUAGACCUAAACUUGUGGGAUGAAAACUUGAUCUGAAGUCUAAGUUGUUAACGGAUACGAUAUAGGAAGGUUGAGCUGCUGUUUAUCUGUUCCUAGAGAUGCUAGAAUUCUGGAGAAUUUAUCUUUGAAAAUCUUUAAAAUGUUGCAUGAUGAGUUCCUGUAUGAUGAGAGCUUAAAUUCCUACCACAGCCAUAUAUACAUGCUUGCUAGACUUUGAGCCACACAUUUACUAUUUACUGUUUAUGAGCAUUGAGUAUGGUCAAGCUGUGUAGACCCUUAGGAGCUUGUCAUGUGGUUAAAUCAAGAUUUCACUUGCACGUUCACUCAUAUAUGCUACUUCUACUCUGGAAGUACCAUCCACAUAUAUCCAUACAUUCCAUCUCCAGAAUCACCCAAAAAGAUUCUACUCCUAAUUUGGGAGAGAAUAACCAAAAAUAUUUCUGUUUUCCCCUUGUGAAAUAAAUGCUCAAGUUAUCUUGUUACUACCACUUGCUAUAUUAUCUCAAGAGAUGAGUGCUCUAAAAAAAAGAAGAAGAAGAAAAUAAUACAAGGAAAUAAAAAGGAGCAAGUGCUCGGAACCUCGAAAGAAAAGAAAAAGUGAGACGAGAGGUAAAAAUGGACAAGUGUCCGACAGUAGAAUUAGGGGUGCAAGAUACCCACCUGAGAGAAAAGAAAAAGAAGAGCAUCUCAUUCUCCUCAUAAAGUUUCAAAAGCAAGGAAGGUAUGUAUCCCCUCAGAAGAGCAAAGUAGAAUUAGACUUUCACCACCAUUGUUUUCACCAUUGUUUUCACCAUUGUUAUCACCAUCAUCACCAUAUACCAUUCAUUCGCCACACAUGCACAUCUUGAUUAAACUUGUUGACUUGUUACUUUGGAUCCAUGGUUUGACUAUGCAAUACAUGUCUUGUAAGUAUGUAUAUUUUAUCUCCCACCUAUGAGCUCCAGAUAUUAAAGCCUUAUUAGAGUAGGAUGAGAGAGAAGGCAAUGUUACUAUGCCUCAUACCACAAAUACCACAUAUCUUGAGAGAAGGCAUAUACCAUCAAUGCCUUGGUAAGGAUCCAAAAAUACCACAAAAGAGAGACCUGAGAGAAUCAUACAAGGAAUUCUGAGUUUUAUUUGAAAAUCUGCAAAAAUCCCAGAGCUAUAGCUGAUCAAGAAUAAGAGACAUGGCACUUGGCUAGACUGUUCUAUCUUUUAACCACUCAAGACAGAAGUGACAGUUACAAGUCCCAUAGUGAAGGUAAAGUAAGUAAGUUUUAAGUCUUGACAGUUUACUCUAACUCAGAGAUGAGAUCUUAUUUAAGAGCAUGUGUACCGU